UUCAGGGGUUUUCAUGUAGAGGAGACUCAGAAGUGGUUUCCCCUUCACUUCUUCUGGGGUUGCCCUGGGACUGUGUAGCUCGCCCAAGGCUACACCGGCUGGCUUUUCUCCUGGGAGGCGCUGUGAGGAAUCGAACUCACAACUCCACAUCCCUCAUUUUCGCUGGUAAUUAAUUUCUCCUGGAGGUGGCCGUUUGUCUGCUGUUAUUUCUUUCAUUUAAUUCAUGCUUGCUGUUUUUUUUCUCUUAUUGUAAACUGUCCCGAGUAAUUCACUGCACUAAGGUGGCAGUGUAUAAAUGGAUGGAUGGAUGGAUGGAUGGAUGGAUGGAUGGAUGGGAAGCAGGUAAUUAUGAUUCUUAAAUGCAUCCAGCAGACCUGCCAGCUGACACCUCUGUGGUGGGUAUAACAGCUGCAAAGGGACAUUUAGGAAACUGGCAAUCUUCGUUAAAAAUGCCAAUGGAAUUAGGGACAGAGUACCCUGCCUCUCCUAGCACUGUAUCCUUCCCACACCACAAACCACUGCUAUUGCUUCUCAGCGGAUGAUCCCUGUCUUAUGUCUCCGUUCAGGGCACGGCCGUGAGAGAGACACUCAGAAGUGUUAUGAAGACAAAGGAAUGUGUCACUCCACACUCUGUCCUGCUCAGAAGAUCGAGAAGGGAACCUGCAAUGGUGGCUCUCAACUCUGCUGCGUUGACUGCCCUUCUCACUUCCUCUCCUAUGAAGGCACUGGGGCUUACUGUCCUCCCACACUUAGCUUCUGGACCUCUGUCAAAAUUCUUCUUAGUCUCUGCUGGGGGAAAAGCUUCGAAAUGCUGUGAGAAGGCUCAGAAUUUGAAAGAGGCUGGAUUGAGAACUGAGGCUUUCAAGGAAGAAAAGAUCCACUUUCAAACGAAGGAGAUGAUCUCACCGAGCGUGCUCGGGAGCACCAUGGUCCAGCUGGAAUACUAGUUUUCUCAUCAGACAGCUUGGAAAGUCAUGUUUGCCAACUUGCAAAAUAGACUGUCCCUAAUUAGGAGUAGACAAUAUGUAAAUUUGUAAAUAAAGUUGUUGUUAUUGUUUAGUCA
Molecule: long non-coding RNA, 1063 nt
Filed under: Pogona vitticeps (central bearded dragon)
Lineage: Eukaryota; Metazoa; Chordata; Lepidosauria; Squamata; Agamidae
Description: lncRNA (ENSPVIG00000006304.1)
Source: RNAcentral